This 6586-nucleotide long non-coding RNA is filed under the name Salmo salar (Atlantic salmon). RNAcentral's name for it is "lncRNA (ENSSSAG00000090545.1)". Lineage: Eukaryota; Metazoa; Chordata; Actinopteri; Salmoniformes; Salmonidae. The record is from RNAcentral.
CAAAAGUAACUUUAUUUUUACUUUUUUUACACAGUUACAUCACAAAGACAUAGAUCAUUGUUGUAUAUACACACAUGACAUGUUGGAUAGUUAGUACUUGGACAUUACAGUAUAUAGUGUUUUGUGUGAUACCACUUUCUGAUACCAAUGUCUGAUACCACUGUGUGAUACUACUGUGUGUUACCACUGUGUGAUACCACUGUGUGAUACCACUGUCUGAUACCACUGUGUGUUACCACUGUGUGUUACCACUGUCUGAUACCACUGUCUGAUACCACUGUGUGUUACCACUGUGUGUUACCACUGUGUGAUACCACUGUGUGAUACCACUGUGUGAUACCACUGUGUGUAGGGAGAUGGAGAGGAUGGUAUUCUACAUUAAGGUUUGUUUGUAUUGUAACCUUUAACAUUACUGUUUUGAUUCAUUUGAUGCUUCACAUAGUUCUUUCUUCUUCUCUUUUUAAGUGGGAAAGUUACUGCAAUAGCAACAUUCAACAGAAUUCUCCCCUGGAGGUUGUUUCUAAGUGGUAAUGUUGUCCAGUUCUCUGUGUCUUAGAACACCAUAACUCUUCUUCUCUCUCUGUCACCCACACACAGAAGAUUGACAAGUUGCACUUGUUUUGUCUUUUAGCUGUCGAUAGUGAUGGUGAGGGGUCAUGACACCGUAGGGGUGAGAAGGAAGAAGGAUUCCUUACUAGAGAACUCAGUCUUUUAUCGCUUCAGUCUGUGUUCUCUGUCUCUCUCUUUCUCACCCAUCCACACACACACAUAUUCUCUCUCUCUCUCUCUCUCUCUCUCUCUCUCUCUCUCACCAUCUCCCUCCCACCAUAUGGAGAUCUGUACAGUAUGGCAUAAUUAGGGAAGAGGGAGGCAGUGAAGCAGCCAGAGAAAUCAACAAUUAGAACCCAGUAAAGUAGAAAAGCACAUUGCAGGAUGUAAAUGUGUUCCUCUGCACCCCUAGACACUGGUUAAGUUAGGUUUUUAUUUAUUCUAUUCAUGUAGAAAUCAAUUUAUUCAUUCCAUUACACCUCUCCUGCAUUUAUUGAGUGCACAAACCAGAGUAUGGGGGGGGGGGCUAAUUUGAUUGAUGAGUAGAUUUAAUGGAAGAAACAUUGACGUGUGAGAGAACCAGAAUGAGAAUGAGUGAACACCAGCGUAGAGAAGCCUAUACAAUCCUCUAUACCCUACCCAGUACCCACCACAGAGUACUAUAGGCCGGCCGGCCGGCGGAUUAGCCACCACAGAGUACUGUAGGCAGGCAGGCCGGCAGAUUAGCCACCACAGAGUACUGUAGGCAGGCCGGCCGGCGGAUUAGCCACCACAGAGUACUGUAGGCAGGCCAGCGGAUUAGCCACCACAGACUACUGUAGGCAGGCCGGCUGGCCGAUUAGCCACCACAGAGUACUGUAGGCAGGCCGGCGGAUUAGCCACCACAGAGUACUGUAGGCAGGCCGGCGGAUUAGCCACCGCAGAGUACUGUAGGCGGGCAGGCCGGCGGAUUAGCCAACACAGAGUACUGGAGGCAGGCCGGCGGAUUAGCCACCACAGAGUACUGUAGGCGGGCAGGCCGGCAGAUUAGCAACCACAGAGUACUGUAGGCAGGCCGGCGGAUUAGCCACCGCAGAGUACUGUAGGCAGGCAGGCCGGCAGAUUAGCCACCACAGAGUACUGUAGGCAGGCCGGCGGAUUAGCCACCACAGAGUACUGUAGGCAGGCCGGCCGGCGGAUUAGCCACCACAGAGUACUGUAGGCAGGCCGGCGGAUUAGCCACCACAGAGUACUGUAGGCAGGCAGGCCGGCGGAUUAGCCACCACAGAGUACUGUAGGCAGGCAGGCCGGCGGAUUAGCCACCACAGAGUACUAUAGGUCGGCCGGCAGAUUAGCCACCACAGAGUACUGUAGGCAGGCCGGCAGAUUAGCCACCACAGAGUACUGUAGGCAGGCCGGCAGAUUAGCCACCACAGAGUACUGUAGGCAGGCCGGCGGAUUAGCCACCACAGACUACUGUAGGCAGGCCGGCUGGCGGAUUAGCCACCACAGAGUACUGUAGGCAGGCCGGCAGAUUAGCCACCACAGAGUACUGUAGGCAGGCCGGCGGAUUAGCCACCACAGAGUACUGUAGGCAGGCCGGCGGAUUAGCCACCACAGAGUACUCUAGGCAGGCCGGCGGAUUAGCCACCGCAGAGUACUGUAGGCGGGCAGGCCGGCAGAUUAGCCAACACAGAGUACUGUAGGCAGGCCGGCGGAUUAGCCACCGCAGAGUACUGUAGGCAGGCAGGCCGGCAGAUUAGCCACCACAGAGUACUGUAGGCAGGCAGGCCGGGCGGAUUAGCCACCACAGAGUACUGUAGGCAGGCAGGUUGGCGGAUUAACCACCACAGAGUACUGUAGGCAGGCCGGCGGAUUAGCCACCACAGAGUACUGUAGGCAGGCAGGCCGGCGGAUUAACCACCACAGAGUACUGUAGGCAGGCAGGCCGGCGGAUUAACCACCACAGAGUACUGUAGGCAGGCCGGCGGAUUAGCCACCACAGAGUACUGUAGGCAGGCCGGCUGGCGGAUUAGCCACCACAGAGUACUGUAGGCAGGCAGGCGGAUUAGCCACCACCGAGUACUGUAGGCAGGCCGGCUGGCGGAUUAGCCACCACAGAGUACUGUAGGCAGGCCGGCUGGCUGAUUAGCCACCACAGAGUACUGUAGGUAGGCAGGCUGGCGGAUUAGCCACCACAGAGUACUGUAGGCAGGCUGGCGGAUUAGCCACCACACUAGUCAAAGAGCAAGUCACAAUUAACAUCUGUUCAUCUACACUCCAGUCUCUAGUGUCUAUUUCUGGUGCUUGUCAAACUAGAAAGACAGAUCGUUAAUGAAUUGACUAAUUGUUUAGCCAUGGAAAACUUUCUAACAGCCUAUAAACAAAUAUCAAAACCCUCUUAUUGAACAUAAUUGAUGUUUUGGGAAAUACUUCUUCCAGUGUUUCCGUCGGCAUGACGCAGCUUUUUGUUUGUGCAUCUAGUCUGAAUACAAUUACAUUAAAACCCAUUUAAUCCAGCUCCUUGGUACAGCCAGACACAGCAGAAUUAUCUCAUGCAGUUAUAAUGAUGUGUUUUACAAUGCAAAGCACUGCCUGUAUCUGCGCUGUCAGACCGACGCUGGAGUCAAGAGGGUCCCCCACGUCUCAGCGCACCUAGGCCUGAAAAAUCUGCCCGUUUUCUCCUUAAACAUCACUGGAUGUCAUUAUUUUCUAAAUAAAUUAUGUAUGACAGUGGCUAACUUCAGGCUUGAUCCAGCAUUUCUUUAAUUAUCCAGAAAAAAACUAAAACAAAAAUAACAUAAUAAACUAAAUUCAAGUAUUUGAGAGAACCUAAAUUGAGAAAAUCCAACCCAUAGGCUUUUAAGAAUGGAUGAACAUGUGUAAAGAGAGAAAGAAGUGGAAGCUGUUUAGAGCUGAAUGAGCUUUUUAUAAUACAGCAACUGUAGCAGCAGAAUUAUUUCAGAUUCAGUUGAGAUGCUUCAGGUUUCAUUCUGCCACUCAAAGACACAAUGAGAUCAGAGAUUUUGGGAGGUAAUCUUCUACGGCAGCUAAGAUGAAAAGAAAAGAGAGAGAAAGCGUGACAGAGAGAGAGUGUAAGACAAAGAGAGAGAGACAGAGAGAGAUUGUAAGAGAGAGAGAGUCAGAGAGACAGAGAGACAGAGAGAGACAGAAAGAGACAGAAAGACAAAGAGACAGAGAGAGGUGUGUGUAUAACCUACAUGGCAGCCAGGCAGACAGGCAGACUGACAGGCGGGCAAACAGGCAGCCAGGCAGACAGGCAGACUGACAGACCGACAGGCGGGCAAACAAGCAGACAGGCAGACGGGCAGCCAGGCAGGCAGGCAGACAGACAGACAGACAUCAAUGCAUCUGCAUUAUGUAACAUCUCUCAUUAACCUGAACUCCGAUACAACAGAAAUCAAUAGCCACGCUGAGCUGAGAGAUAAAGCAUCACAGACUGACUGUGUGUGUGUGUGUGCAUUGCUCGUUGCGCUCAGCUCUCUCCUCCCAGUCUGUGAAAGAUAUACCAGGUAUUCGGAGAGAUAUAAUUGCAUAUGAGUAGCGAACACAUUUACUGAGAUAACAAACUCAUUUAGCCUUAAGAGGGAGACAGCUAUUGUAUUGAUUAUCCUUCAUCUGUGGUGCCUCAUGUUCAACAGUACACACUGAUCAUGCUGCUCUGUGUUCUGUAUGGAAACACUCCCCACCCUCAGACAGAGAUGUGAUGGAUGGGUUGCACUUCAUUGGAUAUCAGAACCCAUUAUCAGCCGGAAAAUGUCAUCCUGGGACGUUUUUGCAAAAAGGUAAAAUGUCACAGGGUGGACGUUUUUCUCAAUAACGUUAGGGUUAGGGUCAGUGUUAUGAUUAGGAUUGAGCUGGGAGUGGACAUUAAGCUAGGGUUAGGGUUAUGGUUAGAGCCUCAACCCUAGACAUAACCCUAACCUUAAUCCAAUGAACAAUGAAUACAUUUCCCCCUCCCCACAUUACAUGGUAGAAAGGUAAGUCUCUCUUCAAGCCUGACCUAGACUUCAUGUGCUUUUGACUGACAUUGGCAGAACGGUUGAGGCUAGAAACAAAAUGCACGCAUGGUAUCAUUCUACAUCUGACCGUGAAAUUAACUAUUCACAGUAAAAACUUGGUCCCAAAGAGAACAAGGAUUUUCAUCCAUAGAAAAGCAUUACCUACAUAACCAUGUGCUGGCUGAGGCUUGAGCUUGCACACAACCAAUCGUGACCUUAUAGGGAUGCCUUGUGUUGAGGAUUAGCUUCCCAUGGCAACAGGAAGUGUCUUAAUUAAUCCUCAACAUGGUCCUUCAUUCUCUCCCUGCAGUUUCACAAAAACACUGUUUUCCAUCCUCUGUAGAACGGUCAAUUCUUAAAACUCAGGGCAUCGUUAAGGAGUGUUCCCAGGAGGCCGUACAUUGAAUUUCAGCUUCAUGCGAUUACCGGAAGGGACUUGCUUGGGGGUCAUAGGGGCGUUUUCAAAGGGUUAAAAAGAUUUAACCUUCCAAAUUUGAUAUAUUUGUGACCGGGGGACCCGACAUAUGAAAUAUCAAAGUCGAUCAACCCAAAAGCAUUUCUGACCUCCAUUGGACACAAUGGUCUACAGUUCUAGAAACUAAGAGGCUUUUGAUGAACUCUUGAAUGAAUUCUGAAGAGGAUAUUGGCACAUUUAUUUUUUAUUGACUUGAAACUUGAAACCGUUUGUGUCUUUUUGCCUGCCUGCCUGCCUGCCUGCCUGCCUGCCUGCAUGCCUGCCUGCAUAUCUGUCUGUCUGUUUGUGUCUGUCUGUUUGUCGGCCUGUCUGUCUGUCUGAUUAUAGGAAGUGACUUAAUUGGGGGUCAUAGGGCCGGUUUCGAAGGGUUAAAAUGUUUAAUCUUUCCAGAUGUUACAUAUUUGUGACCAGGGUACCGUCAUGACCUGGUAUAUGAAAUUUGAAGUCAAUCAACCCAAAAGCAUUUCUGAUCUCCAUUGGACACAAUGGUCUGCAGUUCUGGAAACUAAGAGCCUUAUUAAGAGGAUAUUGGUAAAAAUAUAUAUACUGACUUGAAACUUGAAACAGUUUGUGUCUGUCUGUCUGUCUGCCUGCCUAACUGCCUGCCUGUCAGCAUGCAUGCAUGCCUACCGGUCUGUCUGUCUGUCUGUCCAUCUGCCUAACUGCCUGUCUGUCUGCCUGCCUACUUGUCUGUCUGUCUGCGUCUGUUUGUCUGUCUGUGUCUGCCUGUCUGUCUGAAUGUUGGGAUGUCUGUGGGAGAGAGGAGGAAGCGAGAGGAGGCAGAGAGAGGGGAGGGGGAGAGGAGAGGAGGGGGAGCCAGGCAAAGAAGGGGUGAGACAGAAUGGAGGAGGAGGAGAGAGAGAAAAUGGGGAGAGAAAGGGAGGAGGAGAGAGGGGAGAGAGAGGAGGGAGAAAGUGAAGGAGGGAGGGGGAGAGAGGAGAGAGAGUGAGGAGGAGGAAGGAGAGAGAGGGAGGGGGUGAAGGAGGGGGAGGGGGAGAGAGGAAGGAGAGAGAGAUGAGAGGAAGGGGAGGGAGGGAAAGAAGGAAGGAGAGAAUGGAGGGGGAAGAGGGGGAGAGAGAAGGGGGAGAGUGAGGGAGGGGAGAGAGAGAGGGAGAGGGUGAAGAAGGGAUGGGGAGAGAGGGGAGAGAGAGAGUCAACAGACAUACUGAGGUGGGAGAGAGACGAGAGAGAGUAAUGAGAGGGGGAGGGAGGGCAAGAAGGAAGGAGAGAGAGAAUGGAGGGAGGAGGAGAGAGAGAGAGCAGGGGGAGAGUGAGGGAAGGGGAGAGAAAGGGGGUGAAGGAGAGACGGGGAGAGAGAGGAGGAGGUGGAGGGAGGGAGGGAAGAGAGAGACAGAAAGUGUGAGAUAGGAGGAGAGGAAGCAAGAGGCGAAUGAGAGUGAGGUAGAGAGUGAGAGAGUGAGAAAGAGAGACAGACACGAGAUAAACGAGAAAAACAUUGACUGCAAUGAAUUGAGAAAAACAUCAAUCCUGUGACACUCAUUUUUUCCCAUGUAUUGAGAAAAACGUCAUCCACCACACACACGCACACACACACACACAC